This is a long non-coding RNA of Vespa velutina, 3797 nucleotides long. RefSeq lists it as uncharacterized. NCBI's taxonomy places the organism in Eukaryota, Metazoa, Arthropoda, Insecta, Hymenoptera, Vespidae. The transcript is spliced from 2 exons. The record is from RefSeq and is a predicted model, not a curated record.
CGAAUUCCUGCAACAAGAUUAUCGUAAGAUUAUUGCAAUUGAACUAUUGACAAAUUUCUAUGUGCCAACAGCAGACAUAAUCGAUUCAAACAAGUUCAAUUCUUCUUUAUCAUCCUUGAUCAACGAUUGAGAGCCAUUAAAAAUCGUGUCCUUGCGCUUUGUCCUUCACCGACAAACAAUUUUAUAUUCCUAUUAGAUCGUUAAAUCUUUCACAAGAACGAUAAUAGAGGAAUAGUAGUUUGUAAUGUUCUCUUGUAAAUCAUCUCAUUCUUUUUAAUUUAAAAUUAUAAACUAUAAAAUUAUAAACUAUAGAUUUUCAUUUUUUAAAUAAAAAAUUUAUAAGACAUCGAUAAAAUCUUCUUAACUACCUAUCGUUCAGAAUAACUACACGUGAAAUGAACUAUCAAGUCCGGUAUGUACUGAACGUGUUAAUUGCUCAAGCGUUUGUCAGGUAACUCAAUAGAAUACCAGCCUUGCGGGUUAGAUGCUAUCAGUAAAUGAUCCAGUAAUCGAAUUACGUUGUUACUCUAUCCUGAAGCACGAGAGCGAGAGAGAUAGAUGCAGAGCUUUGGAGCCAACCGGUUAAGAUCUAUUUUCGCCUGUUGAGAAUCCGUUCGCGAAGAUAGAGCAAGAAAGAGAUAGAAUAGUAAAAUGCUGCGAGCAUACUAUCUCAAGCUAAAUAGAAGACGUUUCUCUUUCUUACUUGGAAUAGCAUGUUCGUGAGAAAAGGCACAAUAAAUUGUCAAAGACUAAAACGAACUAUGGUAUUAUCUGUCUCUCUCGUUUAACUUAUGUAAUACUAUGUGUCAACUUAUCGCAUAAACGUUUAAGACAUAUACGAAAACAUCGAGUUUGCCUAUCAUUGGAUCUCUAAUAUAUACGUUUGACAUAUUUUAUAAAUCGACAAUAAAUGACUAGCGAGAAUCUGGUCUUUCUCUUUUUCUCUUUCUUUUUCGUUUGAUUACUUUCGAUAAAUAACAAUUUUCAAGGAUAAAUGUUAUCGCUUAACUUCGAAUUUCAUAAAAACAAGCGAAAUCCGCUAUUUUUAUUUCUCUAAUUAAAAUAUAUAAAUCGUUUGCACGAUAUAUUUGGAAAUAGAUAAAAAUUUUUUAAGUUUUAAAAUAAUAUUAAAAAUUCAAUCCCAUGCAUAUGUCAUUCGUUUACUUUAAAUGUACAUCUCGAAGGACGAGCGGAAUAUUUAACAUACGCAUAUAUUAAUAUUUAUGUAAUUAAGAAGGAAAUAUAUGAAAUAAUAAAAUAGUGAUCGUAGAGCCAUUUGAAGUUCGUGAAUGAGUCAUGCGCGAAAUUGCACCCGUUACAAUACGGAGCUCAAGUUAACCUUGUAACACAUAGCGCAUGUUAUUUACAAUAUGAAUGAAAGUACAAGUAUUGGGUGGGUGGACCUAUAUCAUCUCUUAGCUAUCAGAUAAAUUUUUAAUGGAAAAACGCAAAAACUCUUAUUUCAACUUUUCGACUAUCUUCGAAAUUUUCGUGAUAUGAAGAUAGAAUCCAUUAAUGCCGUAGUCAAGGGAUUAUCGAAAGUUUACCAAUAUGCUGUCACCAUGGACUUGCAAAUUUCCACUUUAACGCGACGUGCUCUGUUACUCAUGAAUUACAUACUCUCUGGAAAACCGCUUACACAGCGUUCUUUUGCAUAUCUGUCUGAUAUUGCUAAAGUGUGUACACGUAUAAGGUGAGUCAACGACUGUUGUCAUCCAAUAUAAUAAUCUAUUUACCGAUUUAAGAUAUAACGUUCAAUAUAAAUCCCUUAAUGCGUACGAUAUAACUCAGUUAUCAAACGCAAAAAACUUUUUCUUUUUUAUAAAAUCGAUAAAGAAAAUAACGCCGAACAAAGAUAGUUCUUGACACGACCUGUAUAAAUCGCAAGAUAUUCAACACAUACUUUUACUAAUACUACAAAAAAAAAAAAAAAAAAAAAAAAAAAGAAAAAAAAAAAUAGAUAAGAUCGAAUAUUAAAAAGCAAAGAUAAAGUGUUUGAACGUUACUUUUACACUUUCUUCUAUUUUUUAUCUUCGAAACGAGUGAUAGAAAAUAAAAUUAUGAUCGAUAUAACGUACUGGCGAGCUCGAAUACUCGUUUUAAAAGCCUCUCGUCUUUCCAACUUUGAAAUAAAUAGAAUGGUGUGCUUGUGGAACGAUAGUGAUCAUUCGAUAUAUCGAAAAUGUAUAAAAUAUCUGUGAGCUCCAUCGAACUCAUCCACGGAAAAUGAAUCUCUCGAAAGCUAGCAUCCGUGCAACGAUUUAAAGUGUAACGAUGAUAUCAUAUCUUCCUGAUGAAUGGACGAUAUCGUUUUCGCAAACAAACGAUCCUUGACCAAGUAGUAAAGCGGAGAACGACUCUCUAGCAAUCCUCUCACGAGUUACGAUGUUGGAAACCACAAAACUGGACCAUUCCUACGACAGUGAAAUUUAAUUUACGAUAAAGCGUAACCGCGUGUGUGCAAUAAUUCACGUUUUACCUGUACUGAUAUAAAUUAUUCGAUUGCGAGAAGUGAAUGAUUCGACGUUGAAUCUAUGUAGAAAAUAAUCAAAAUAAUAAUAAAUAUAUUUGCGAUUCAAAUUCGACGCAAAAAAGAAUUAAAUUUUUUUUUCUUUGAAAAAAAAAAAAAAGAAAAGAAAAGACAAAAAAAAAUUACGACAAGAAUGAUAUUUACUCUUUAUCGAGAUAUCUCCAAUAGAAACUUUAUUUUCGAAGUUUAAAGAUCGAAUUAUCAGGACGAAGGAUUAACAAACAAGUUGAAAUUUGUUAAACGAACAUACUUUCUCUCUCUCUCUUUCUUUUACACACACACACACACACACAACUCGCACUCAUACGUGCAAGUUCAUAUGAAAACGUUACGUAAAUUUUCUUCUUAACGAGCGCCAACUCGUACUAUCUAUAUAAAAACAUUUCGGAAAAAAUCGUGCAUGCAUUCGCAGAGUAAAAAUAAAAAAUUCUCAUUCAAAUUUGCAUCGAAUGCAUACGUUUCCGUUUAUAUCGGUACAAACUCCAGUCGGUUCCCGAUAUACGAUCGCGAACUCCAUAUACGUGAACACGAUAAAACCUAACGAUUCCUGAAGUAAUAUCAUUUGUUAUUGCGCGCUGAAAAGAGAACGAUUCUAACCAAGAGAGCGAAUACCAGUCGCCAAAGCACUUCUUGGCAAGUUUUAAAGAAAUACCUUGGUGAAGUUCCACUUUUCAAACGACUAACCAAUUUAUUGUAGAUUAAAUUGGAAUUCGUGCAAUAAAACGAAUUAUAUAAUCUAAUGUAUACAUAAGGAUAAAUGAAAUCUGCGUCAACUUGACGAUGCGAUAAACAAAGACAUUAAAUUUUGAUAAGGGAUCACAUCAAUAUUAAAAUAAUAAAAUGUACAAGGAAGUUGACAAUCCAACUGUUUUACUAAUAUUAUUUCGAGCAAUACAAUUAUUUUGUCUUCGUUCGUUGAUAUAAUAGACGCUGAUAUAUCAUUUUUGGUGUCUCGUCGACUUAACAGCAAAGACAGCUUUCUAGGAUGAUAUUGUUUCUCGGAAUAGGCAUCAUUAAAUGCAUUGAACGGGGUUAAGCACAUUCCACCCUACGCGGAAGUUUAUUUUCAGCUUGGCUCUUCUCUAUCGAUGGACUAUUCGGAUGUUUCGCGAAAGAAAGAGGGGAUUUGAAGGAAAAGUGUCAUUGAUAACCAAUUGAAAAUAGGUCAAGAAGAUCAAAGAUAACUAAUAUAAAGAAGGAGAAGAAAGAGAGAGAGAGAGAGAGAGAGAGAGAGAGAGAGAGAGAGAGAGAGAGAGGAAAAAGAGAG